This is a long non-coding RNA of Uranotaenia lowii, 545 nucleotides long. RefSeq lists it as uncharacterized. The transcript is spliced from 3 exons. Lineage: Eukaryota; Metazoa; Arthropoda; Insecta; Diptera; Culicidae. The record is from RefSeq and is a predicted model, not a curated record.
AGCAAUACUAGUUGCCGAGCCUCAAAAAGAGCGCAUACAAGCCGCCCCAGGUCUCCUCGGGAAUUCACCAUUCAAAAUCUAUUAAUUUUCUGCGGCUUCACAUAAUCAACAUAGACUUGACUGUGGCCUGUAUUAUUUUGAUGUUUUCCGGACCAGACAACCGUUGAAUAUUGUAAGCUUUUCAGGCUAUCUGGUGGAAAACAGUCAUCAAUAUUCUUCAUGCCAUCUUUGAAAUCGAUAUCGGACGGUAAUGUUAUACCACUACGAAAUUCAGAAAUACAACACCAGAAAAUUGCUGAAGGUAAAGGACAACACAUCGUACGAGGAAUUGUGGAGCAUCAUCCUGCAGUUCCAACGGCCAAUCUUCGAUAUUUACAUCCGUGCAAAAGAUGUUGGUCAUAAAUCGAACAACGUCGCAGAUUUAACACAACGGCCAACGCAAUCAUCUGUUUAUCACUGCAAACGUUUAUGUGAUGAUGAUGUUAAUGAUGAUUUUUCCUGUGGUGUUUCUGAACGAUUGCGUUUCUUAAAAAAUAGUAAUAAUA